This 380-nucleotide unclassified non-coding RNA is filed under the name uncultured Actinomycetes bacterium. RNAcentral describes it as "uncultured actinobacterium contains 16S-23S intergenic spacer region". The record is from RNAcentral. Lineage: Bacteria; Bacillati; Actinomycetota; Actinomycetes.
UCCGAGUUGUCCCCGGCAGUCCUCUUAGAGUCCCCGGCAUAACCCGCUGGCAACAUGGGGCAAGGGUUGCGCUCGUUGCGGGACUUAACCCAACAUCUCACGACACGAGCUGACGACAGCCAUGCACCACCUGCACAAACCCCACAAAGGGACACCGUAUCUCUACGGCUUUAGUUUGCAUGUCAAACCCAGGUAAGGUUCUUCGCGUCGCUUCGAAUUAAGCCACAUGCUCCACCGCUUGUGCGGGUCCCCGUCAAUUCCUUUGAGUUUUACCGUUGCCGGCGUACUCCCCAGGCGGAGUGCUUAAUGCGUUAGCUGCGGCACAGAGAGGGUUGAAGACCUCCCCACACCUAGCACUCAACGUUUACGGCUGGGACUAC